Lolium rigidum is the source of this 361-nucleotide long non-coding RNA. RefSeq lists it as uncharacterized. The transcript is spliced from 3 exons. Lineage: Eukaryota; Viridiplantae; Streptophyta; Magnoliopsida; Poales; Poaceae. The record is from RefSeq and is a predicted model, not a curated record.
ACUACCUCGACUACCCCAGUGGCUCUCGUCGUUGUGCUAUGGCGGCGAGUUCGCCGUGUUGCAUCCGUCUUAGCUGUGGUCUUCUUCUACACCUCGUUGUUUUAGCAAGUCGAGUUGCUCGGCCCCAGGUUACCUCGACACUGCCAAAUGUUUUAAUAUGCUAUAGAAUGGCUGUCUGAAGCGUCUGCAAAAGUAGUACCACACGCUGUGCAAGGAGCUGCCGCCGCAGAUUGUGGCUCGUCCUCUGUCCAACAAAAUAGUUAGUGGUGUAGGUAGCUUCCACUGAUUGCACUUGUAAAUGUAGUAUUUAGCAUUGUUUAAUCGAAUGGAAAUAUUUUAUGUUUGGGUCUGAUUAUUGUGA